GUCCACGCCCUAAACGAUGUCAACUGGUUGUUGGUGGGGUUAAACCCAUUAGUAACGAAGCUAACGCGUGAAGUUGACCGCCUGGGGAGUACGGCCGCAAGGUUAAAACUCAAAGGAAUUGACGGGGACCCGCACAAGCGGUGGAUGAUGUGGAUUAAUUCGAUGCAACGCGAAGAACCUUACCUACCCUUGACAUGCCAGGAAGCUUGCUGAGAGGUUAGUGUGCCCGAAAGGGAGCCUGGACACAGGUGCUGCAUGGCUGUCGU
Molecule: ribosomal RNA, 266 nt
Filed under: uncultured bacterium
Lineage: Bacteria
Description: partial 16S ribosomal RNA
Rfam family: Bacterial small subunit ribosomal RNA
Source: RNAcentral